This 206-nucleotide ribosomal RNA is filed under the name Clostridioides difficile. RNAcentral describes it as "partial 23S ribosomal RNA". It matches the Rfam family "Bacterial large subunit ribosomal RNA", at positions 1930 to 2135 of the family's 2925-position model. Lineage: Bacteria; Bacillati; Bacillota; Clostridia; Peptostreptococcales; Peptostreptococcaceae. The record is from RNAcentral.
GCGGCCGUAACUAUAACGGUCCUAAGGUAGCGAAAUUCCUUGUCGGGUAAGUUCCGACCCGCACGAAAGGCGUAACGAGUUGGGCACUGUCUCAACAACAGACUCGGUGAAAUUGUAAUUCCGGUGACGAUGCCGGAUACCUGCGACAGGACGGAAAGACCCCAUGGAGCUUUACUGUAGCUUGACAUUGGGUCUUGGUACUACAU